UUGGCUCAGUGGUAGAACAUCUGCCUUGCAUGCAGAAUGUCCCAGGUUCAAUCCGCAAUGGCAUCUCAA
Non-coding RNA from Podarcis lilfordi (Lilford's wall lizard), 69 nucleotides. NCBI's taxonomy places the organism in Eukaryota, Metazoa, Chordata, Lepidosauria, Squamata, Lacertidae. The record is from the annotation of a GenBank genome assembly.